AGCAGCCGCGGUAAUUCCAGCUCCAAUAGCGCAUAUUAAAGUUGUUGCAGUUAAAAAGCUCGUAGUUGAAUUUCGGGGUUAGUUGGCUGGUCGUGCCACCGGUACGUACUGGUCUUACUGAUUCCUCCUUCCUGAUGAAUUGUAAUGCCAUUAAUUUGGUGUUGCAGGGAAUCUGGACUGUUACUUUGAAAAAAUUAGAGUGUUUAAAGCAGGCUAACGCUUGAAUACAUUAGCAUGGAAUAAUGAAAUAGGACGUUCGAUCCUAUUUUGUUGGUUUCUAGGAUUGACGUAAUGAUUAAUAGGGAUAGUUGGGGGCAUUAGUAUUCAAUUGUCAGAGGUGAAAUUCUUGGAUUUAUUGAAGACUAACUACUGCGAAAGCAUUUGCCAAGGAUGUUUUCAUUAAUCAAGAACGAAAGUUAGGGGAUCGAAGACGAUCAGAUACCGUCGUAGUCUUAACCAUAAACUAUGCCGACUAGGGAUCGGAUGAUGUUAAUUUUUUAAUGACUCA
RNAcentral lists this ribosomal RNA (508 nucleotides) under uncultured Glomus. RNAcentral describes it as "SSU rRNA". It matches the Rfam family "Eukaryotic small subunit ribosomal RNA", at positions 569 to 1078 of the family's 1831-position model. The record is from RNAcentral. Lineage: Eukaryota; Fungi; Glomeromycota; Glomeromycetes; Glomerales; Glomeraceae.